GAUGAACGCUGGCGGCGUGCCUAAUACAUGCAAGUCGAGCGAACGGACGAGAAGCUUGCUUCUCUGAUGUUAGCGGCGGACGGGUGAGUAACACGUGGAUAACCUACCUAUAAGACUGGGAUAACUUCGGGAAACCGGUGCUAAUACCGGAUAAUAUUUUGAACCGCAUGGUUCAAAAGUGAAAGACGGUCUUGCUGUCACUUAUAGAUGGAUCCGCGCUGCAUUAGCUAGUUGGUAAGGUAACGGCUUACCAAGGCAACGAUGCAUAGCCGACCUGAGAGGGUGAACGGCCACACUGGAACUGAGACACGGUACAGACACCUACGGGAGGCAGAAGUAGGGAAUCUUCCGCAAUGGGCGAAAGCCUGAAGGAGCAACGCAGCGUGAGUGAUGAAGGUCUUCGGAUCGUAAAACUCUGUUAUUAGGGAAGAACAUAUGUGUAAGUAACUGUGCACAUCUUGACGGUACCUAAUCAGAAAGCCACGGCUAACUACGUG
Molecule: ribosomal RNA, 497 nt
Filed under: uncultured bacterium
Lineage: Bacteria
Description: partial 16S ribosomal RNA
Rfam family: Bacterial small subunit ribosomal RNA
Source: RNAcentral